AUGGAGAUGACGAUGGCCAUGGUGGACGAUGAUGCACCCCCCACAUGGUUCCAUCAAGAUGAAGAUGACAAUGAGACGAUCUUAACCACCUCACCUACAACACAUGAGCGACGCUCCAACGGUAACAUAGGUGAUGGUGCUGCUCUAGUCCCACUAGUGGACAUUCUUGAGAUUGAUUGCUUGCAUGAUGUUGACCCACCUAUUACCAUGCUUCAUGCUAGUGAAACUUCUUCAUGCCUUGACUUACCUAUUUACGAUGAAUAUGAUGAUGAGCAUAUUGAGUUGCCAAGUUGUGAUGCUAUGCUUCAUAAGAUAUCAUGUGAAAAUUCUAUUGGUCACAUCAUGUUUGAUAAUCCGCUUGACUUGUCAUAUGCUAUGCAUGAGAUCAACCAUAUGUCUUAUUUGCAAUCUCUUCAUAGUGACUAUGCAUAUGCCAUUAAAAUAAACCCAAUUUGCACAUAUGGCAUAGAUGACAAGCCCAUGGUUAUUGGCAUUUGUUUCUCUUGUGAUGAUAUUGAUAUGCUCCCUUUGCAUCAUUUAUCUAAUAUGCCAGGCCAUGACCACCUAGCUUUGGAUAUGCAUUGUUUACCAUGUUGUCAAUAUUCUCCACGUGAUGUUUCUACUCUUGCUCAUGAGGAGACCCCCAUAGUUUCCUCAUACAUAUUAGGAGAUCUUGAUGCAUUUCAUCCUUUGCAUGAUUUCCAUGAUUGCUUGCACCAUAUGCAUUCCAUGAAUAAUAAUGCUCUAGAUAUUUCUCAUGAUGCAUUACAUCCUUUGAGUCUCCAUUAUACCAUACAUAAUGACAAACCUCUCAUGAUGGAUGACAUGUUUCUAUAUCAUGCAUCUCAUUUAUUUGAGCAUUGGCUAUUUAGUGCUAACCAACACAUGCACGUGUGCAUCAUGAUGGAUGAUGUGUACAUAUACCAUGCACAUACAAUUUUCUCUUUGUCUUUGUUUUGUGUAGGUACUCAUGUAUACUCGUCAACCUCUCAAUCCCAAGAGUUGACGAAACGAGCUCUUGAGAGCAACGAUGGCUUGGGAUCCCGUGGACAAUCCUUACCACCGUUCCCUUUGCGCAAGGACUACGCACAUCUCUUCUACUUGGCUCUCACACGGCUAUGGGCUAUUUACCACUUGUCACCUUAUGCCCAUACUAUCGUGUUCACUUUGCAUGUUAUACUUGUUUCUAUGCCUUUGCCAUGCGAUUGUGACCCUUGCUUGCAUUUACCCAUGAUGCACCAUUAUGAUAUUCCUAUGUGUAUUUGCAUGCUUGGUGGAGAUCCUUGUUGCUAUUGCCAUGUUUAUCAUGUGCCCCAUGCUAUUGAUGCUAUUUUACUCAUAUCUUGCUUUCAUGCUUGUGCUAUGACAUGUGAAUUAUUCAUGCACACUAUUUGCACCAAUGACAUGCUUGCCAUGAUUCCUUCUAGUAUGUUGCAUCCUCGCACUACUAGCAUGCUUGACUUGAUCACUAUGAUUGCUUGCUUGGUUGCAUCACCCAUGUUCCACUAUUACUUUCUUUCUUGGGUUGAUGACAUAUAUGCUCAGGCCUCUCACUUGUCGCAUCAUAUGCUUACAUACCAUGCCAAAUUCCCUUGUCCUUUCUUAUGA
This 1608-nucleotide ribosomal RNA is filed under the name Triticum aestivum (bread wheat). RNAcentral's name for it is "partial small subunit ribosomal RNA". The record is from RNAcentral. Lineage: Eukaryota; Viridiplantae; Streptophyta; Magnoliopsida; Poales; Poaceae.